This 253-nucleotide ribosomal RNA is filed under the name uncultured bacterium. RNAcentral's name for it is "partial 16S ribosomal RNA". It matches the Rfam family "Bacterial small subunit ribosomal RNA", at positions 524 to 776 of the family's 1533-position model. The record is from RNAcentral.
UACGUAGGGGGCAAGCGUUGUCCGGAAUCAUUGGGCGUAAAGCGCGUGUAGGCGGCCCGAUAAGUCCGCUGUGAAAGUCCAGGGCUCAACCCUGGAAUGCCGGUGGAUACUGUCGGGCUCGAGUCCGGAAGAGGCGAGUGGAAUUCCUGGUGUAGCGGUGAAAUGCGCAGAUAUCAGGAGGAACACCGAUGGCGAAGGCGGCUCUCUGGGACGGUACUGACGCUGAGACGCGAAAGCGUGGGGAGCGAACAGG